Molecule: ribosomal RNA, 254 nt
Filed under: uncultured bacterium
Lineage: Bacteria
Description: partial 16S ribosomal RNA
Rfam family: Bacterial small subunit ribosomal RNA
Source: RNAcentral
CACGUAGGGGGCAAGCGUUGUCCGGAUUUAUUGGGCGUAAAGAGCUCGUAGGUGGUUCGGUAAGUCAGGUGUGAAACCUCCAGGCUCAACCUGGAGACGCCACUUGAUACUGCUGUGACUGGAGUCCGGUAGGGGAGCGUGGAAUUCCUGGUGUAGCGGUGAAAUGCGCAGAUAUCAGGAGGAACACCAAUGGCGAAGGCAGCUCGCUGGGACGGUACUGACGCUGAGACGCGAAAGCGUGGGGAGCAAACAGG